RNAcentral lists this ribosomal RNA (477 nucleotides) under uncultured anaerobic ammonium-oxidizing bacterium. Its description in RNAcentral is "bacterial SSU rRNA". It matches the Rfam family "Bacterial small subunit ribosomal RNA", at positions 365 to 832 of the family's 1533-position model. The record is from RNAcentral.
UUCGCAAUGCCCGAAAGGGUGACGAAGCGACGCCGCGUGAGCGAAGAAGGCCCUAGGGUUGUAAAGCUCUGUCGGGGGUUACGAAAUGUAGAUCGGUUAAUACCCGGUUUAUUUGACAAAGGCCCCAAAGGAAGCCACGGCUAACUCUGUGCCAGCAGCCGCGGUAAUACAGAGGUGGCAAGCGUCGUUCGGUAUUAUCGGGCGUAAGGAGCACGUAGGUGGUUUUGUAAGUCAGAUGUGAAAGCCUUCUGUUCAAAGGAAGAACGGCAUCUGAAACUGCGAAUCUUGAGUGUAGGAGGGGAGAGUGGAACUUCUGGUGGAGCGGUGAAAUGCGUAGAUAUCAGAAGGAACGUCGGCGGCGAAAGCGACUCUCUGCCCUAUUACUGACACUGAGUGUGCGAAAGCUAGGGGAGCAACCGGGAUUAGAUACCCCGGUAGUCCUAACUGUAAACGAUGGGCACUAAGUAGAGGGGUUUU